RNAcentral lists this ribosomal RNA (485 nucleotides) under uncultured bacterium. RNAcentral describes it as "partial 16S ribosomal RNA". It matches the Rfam family "Bacterial small subunit ribosomal RNA", at positions 30 to 508 of the family's 1533-position model. The record is from RNAcentral.
AUUGAACGCUGGCGGCAGGCCUAACACAUGCAAGUCGAGCGGAUGAAGGGAGCUUGCUCCUGGAUUCAGCGGCGGACGGGUGAGUAAUGCCUAGGAAUCUGCCUGGUAGUGGGGGAUAACGUCCGGAAACGGGCGCUAAUACCGCAUACGUCCUGAGGGAGAAAGUGGGGGAUCUUCGGACCUCACGCUAUCAGAUGAGCCUAGGUCGGAUUAGCUAGUUGGUGGGGUAAAGGCCUACCAAGGCGACGAUCCGUAACUGGUCUGAGAGGAUGAUCAGUCACACUGGAACUGAGACACGGUCCAGACUCCUACGGGAGGCAGCAGUGGGGAAUAUUGGACAAUGGGCGAAAGCCUGAUCCAGCCAUGCCGCGUGUGUGAAGAAGGUCUUCGGAUUGUAAAGCACUUUAAGUUGGGAGGAAGGGCAGUAAGUUAAUACCUUGCUGUUUUGACGUUACCAACAGAAUAAGCACCGGCGAACGUCGUGC